UUCUUUCCUCCCGAGUGCUUGCACUCAAUUGGAAAGAGGAGUGGCGGACGGGUGAGUAACACGUGGGUAACCUACCCAUCAGAGGGGGAUAACACUUGGAAACAGGUGCUAAUACCGCAUAACAGUUUAUGCCGCAUGGCAUAAGAGUGAAAGGCGCUUUCGGGUGUCGCUGAUGGAUGGACCCGCGGUGCAUUAGCUAGUUGGUGAGGUAACGGCUCACCAAGGCCACGAUGCAUAGCCGACCUGAGAGGGUGAUCGGCCACACUGGGACUGAGACACGGCCCAGACUCCUACGGGAGGCAGCAGUAGGGAGUCUUCGGCAAUGGACGAAAGUCUGACCGAGCAACGCCGCGUGAGUGAAGAAGGUUUUCGGAUCGUAAAACUCUGUUGUUAGAGAAGAACAAGGACGUUAGUAACUGAACGUCCCCUGACGGUAUCUAACCAGAAAGCCACGGCUAACUACGUGCCAGCAGCCGCGGUAAUACGUAGGUGGCAAGCGUUGUCCGGAUUUAUUGGGCGUAAAGCGAGCGCAGGCGGUUUCUUAAGUCUGAUGUGAAAGCCCCCGGCUCAACCGGGGAGGGUCAUUGGAAACUGGGAGACUUGAGUGCAGAAGAGGAGAGUGGAAUUCCAUGUGUAGCGGUGAAAUGCGUAGAUAUAUGGAGGAACACCAGUGGCGAAGGCGGCUCUCUGGUCUGUAACU
This 700-nucleotide ribosomal RNA is filed under the name uncultured Bacilli bacterium. RNAcentral's name for it is "bacterial SSU rRNA". It matches the Rfam family "Bacterial small subunit ribosomal RNA", at positions 65 to 741 of the family's 1533-position model. The record is from RNAcentral. Lineage: Bacteria; Bacillati; Bacillota; Bacilli.